AAGUCGUAACAAGGUUUCCGUAGGUGAACCUGCGGAAGGAUCAUUAACGAAUGAAGUUGAGCAGGGUUGUUGCUGGCCUCCGGGCAUGUGCACACCUUGUUCUUCCAACCUUCUACACCACUGUGCACUUUCUCAUGGGUUGGGGUUCUGCGCCUUUAAUGGCUGCGUCCCUGCCUGUGUGCCUACACAUACACAUGUUUGUUAUAGAAUGUCUACUGUGCAUGAAUGCAUAUAAUACAACUUUCAGCAACGGAUCUCUUGGCUCUC
This 267-nucleotide unclassified non-coding RNA is filed under the name Steccherinum sp. RNAcentral's name for it is "partial internal transcribed spacer region". The stretch from base 1 to 46 matches the Rfam family "Eukaryotic small subunit ribosomal RNA", at positions 1786 to 1831 of the family's 1831-position model. Lineage: Eukaryota; Fungi; Basidiomycota; Agaricomycetes; Polyporales; Steccherinaceae. The record is from RNAcentral.